Molecule: transfer RNA, 69 nt
Filed under: human gut metagenome
Rfam family: tRNA
About the family: Transfer RNA (tRNA) molecules are approximately 80 nucleotides in length. Their secondary structure includes four short double-helical elements and three loops (D, anti-codon, and T loops).
Source: RNAcentral
UCCAUAGCUCAGUCUGGAUAGAGCACUUGACUACGAAUCAAGGUGUCGGGGGUUCGAAUCCCUCUGGGG